Molecule: unclassified non-coding RNA, 1009 nt
Filed under: Hevea brasiliensis (rubber tree)
Lineage: Eukaryota; Viridiplantae; Streptophyta; Magnoliopsida; Malpighiales; Euphorbiaceae
Source: RNAcentral
AGAGAGAGAGAGAGAGAGUUUAUUUUGUUGGUUAGGGGGAGGGGGUGUGAAGGAUGGAGCCUGUGCAUAUGUGGGACAUUUCACUAAUGUAUAGUUCUUGUUUUAUGAUGGAACUUUUAUGAAAUUAUUUUAUUUUCACUGGUGUAUACGUCACCAUGACCAUCAAUUUGAUCCUCUGGUCAUGAUGAGAUCAUGUGCUAUGACUUAUGAGUGCAACUGGUGCAUAUCUCACCAGUCACCAGGACCAUCAAUUUGAUCCUCUGGUCAUGAUGAGAUCAUGUGCUAUGACUUAUGAGUGCAACUGGUGCAUAUCUCACCAGUCACCAGGACCAUCAAUUUGAUCCUCUGGUCAUGACGAGAAUAUGUGCUAAGUGCAACUGUGAUGACUCCCUGAUGUUCUGUUCUUUCUUCUAUGAUCUGACAACCACUGUACUUUUGGUGGGAUUUUAUAGUUGCAGUAGAAUAAGUAGUCUGACUUCCUUUUUGUCAUUCAUUUUGAUAUUGGUCUCAUCCAGCAGAUCAGCACUGCUAAGAUUGUGGCAUAUCUCAGUUACCAUUAUAACAUCCAAAACCUUGUUUGAGCUUUUUAGUUGAUUGCAAAACUUGUAUCAGCUGCGCUGAUUAUGUUCAAUGCAGUGUGAGACCUUUCACAUGAAUUGGCAUUUGUGAGUUAUUCUGGUGCAUUCUUGUUGCUGCUGGGGAUCUUUAGACUCUGGGAGACUGGAGCUUUUCCACAGGUGGCAUCAAUUCUCUGGGAUUGAAAAUCUGCCCUUUUCAGCAUCUCCUUGCGAUUUUCAUUUUCAUAAUAUAAAAUUUUAUGAGUCUCUGAAUUGUAUUGUGGACUGUUUAGGUAUUGUCUAUGAUGUGCGCUAUGUAUGUGCUUAUAUUGUUCUCCUUUUAUAUGAUGUUAUGUGUUAAUCUAUUAUCGUUUUAAUCUUCUUUUCAAGGAGGGAUUUAUAUUGAUUUUCUUUCUGUGUGUUAUUUACUGGACAGUUCCUGAGGGUGGGGU